Molecule: ribosomal RNA, 490 nt
Filed under: uncultured bacterium
Lineage: Bacteria
Description: partial 16S ribosomal RNA
Rfam family: Bacterial small subunit ribosomal RNA
Source: RNAcentral
GAUGAACGCUCGCUACAGGCUUAACACAUGCAAGUCGCAGGGUAACAUGAGGAAAGCUUGCUUUCCUUGAUGACGACUGGCGCACGGGUGAGUAACGCGUAUCCAACCUUCCCAUAACUACGGGAUAACCCGUUGAAAGACGGCCUAAUACCGUAUGAUAUCGUUUGCUGACAUCAAAUAACGAUUAAAGGUUUAGCGGUUAUGGAUGGGGAUGCGUCUGAUUAGCUUGUUGGCGGGGUAACGGCCCACCAAGGCGACGAUCAGUAGGGGUUCUGAGAGGAAGGUCCCCCACAUUGGAACUGAGACACGGUCCAAACUCCUACGGGAGGCAGCAGUGAGGAAUAUUGGUCAAUGGGCGAGAGCCUGAACCAGCCAAGUAGCGUGCAGGAUGACGGCCCUAUGGGUUGUAAACUGCUUUUAUGUGGGGAUAAAGUGCGUGACGUGUCAUGCAUUGCAGGUACCACAUGAAUAAGGACCGGCUAAUUCCGUG